This is a small nucleolar RNA of Sorex fumeus (smoky shrew), 133 nucleotides long. RefSeq annotates it as U8 small nucleolar RNA. Lineage: Eukaryota; Metazoa; Chordata; Mammalia; Eulipotyphla; Soricidae. The transcript has a single exon. The record is from RefSeq and is a predicted model, not a curated record.
UCAUGAGGUAGGAUAAUACUUACCUGCUUGUCUAUUCAGAGGGCAGAUAGUAUUGGAUGAUGACUCGAGUUUGCAUGAUUUGUGACUAUAUCUCUGUGUUAUCAGUGCUCACAACACCUUAAUCACUACUGAU